GUGAAUCAUCGAAUUUUUGAACGCAUAUUGCACCAUCUGGGAUGCCGGAGAGUAUGCCUAUUUGAGUGUCAUUUGAAAUAAUAUAAAUUUCGAGAUUUUCUUGAAAUCAAAAAUGGGUAGGUUCAUCUUUCGUGGGGUUGUCGCCUAAAAUGCAAGACAAUCUCAUGUCUUGUGUUUCGUGAUACUUUCAGUUACCUCGUCACUUCACUAGAAAUCUUCGAUCGUGUUAAGAGUUGUGAUA
RNAcentral lists this unclassified non-coding RNA (241 nucleotides) under Ambisporaceae sp. RNAcentral describes it as "partial internal transcribed spacer 2". The stretch from base 1 to 71 matches the Rfam family "5.8S ribosomal RNA", at positions 84 to 154 of the family's 154-position model. The record is from RNAcentral. Lineage: Eukaryota; Fungi; Glomeromycota; Glomeromycetes; Archaeosporales; Ambisporaceae.